ACCUCCCUACCCCCCACCGCCCCACCCCCUGUGGUCUGCCCUACACUGCACUGUGGCCAGUGCUCCAGGCCUGUUUGGUGUGGACAUGGUGGUGACCCGUGUCAAGGACCAGAAUGGAUCACAGAUGAUCGUUGGCCAACAGGUGGCAGAAGAGGAAUUCCUGCCUUCCUCAAGAGGAACACCUACCCCUUGGCUAAUGCUGGGGUCGGAUUUUGAUUUAUAUUUAUCUUUUGGAUGUCAGUCAUACAGUCUGAUUUUGUGGUUUGCUAGUGUUUGAAUUUAAGUCUUAAGUGACUGUUAUAGAAAUGUAUUAAGAGGCUUUAUUUGUAGAAUUCAUUUUAAUUACAUUUAAUGAGUUUUUAUUUUGAGUUCCUUAAAAUUCCUUAAAGUUUUUAGUUUCUCUUUACAAAUUCCUUAACCUUUUGGCAGUAGAUAGUCAAAAUCAAAUCAUUUCUAAUUUAAAAAAAAUGUGCUGAUUAUUUUCUUUGAAAUUGACUUAACUACUUUCCUUUGGAUUUUGAAGAGUCUGUAGCACAGACACAGUUAAAAAUUUAACUUCAUGAUCUAAUGUAAAAAAGAGUGUUUGAAGGUUUACACAGGUCCAGGCCUUGCUUUGUUCCCAUCCUUGAUGCUGCACUUAUUGACUAAUCACCUACUUACCAGGCAGGAAACUUGAAUUGCUGUGGUCUGGUGUCCUCUAUUCAGACUUAUAUUGGAGUAUUAAUGUCCACAUUUCAAUUUUUUGUUGUAUCCUGCCUGCCUAGCAUCCGGUUCCUCCCCAGCCCUGCUCCCAGCAAACCCCCCUAGUUUAGCCCCAACCCUUCUCCCACCCCGCCCCAGCCCUGCCCCAGCCCCUGCCCCAGCCCCGCCCCAGCCCCAGCUCCAGCCCCCUAAGCCCCCAGCCCCGGCCCUAGUCCUAGUUCCUCAGUCCCGCCCAGCUUCUCUGGAAAGUCACUCUAAUUUUCAUUGAUUCAGUGCUCAAAAUAAGUUGUCCAUUGUUUAUCCUAUUAUACUGGGAUAUUCUUUUUACCCUUGGCAUCGCUGAUCUUCAGUACUGACUCCUUGACCAUUUUCAGUUAAUGCAUACAAUCCCAUUUGUCUGUGAUCUCAGAACAGAAUUUCUUUACUCGGUACGUUAAAGUUAGGGAAUGUCAAUUGAGAGCUUUCUAUCAGAGCAUUAUUGCCCACAAUUUGAGUUACUAAUCAUUUUCUCAAUCCCCUGCCCUUAAAGGAGAAACCAUUUCUCUGUCAUUGCUUCUGUAGUCACAGUCCCAAUUUUGAGUAGUGACCUUUUAUUGUGUACUGUUGGCCACCUAAAACUCUUUGCAUUGAGUAAAAUUCUAAUUGCCAAUAAUCCUACCCAUUGGAUUAGACAGCACUCUGAACCCCAUUUGCAUUCAGCAGGGGGUCUCAGACAACCCGUCUUUUGUUGGACAGUUAAAAUGCUCAGUCCCAAUUGCCAUAGCUUUGCGUAUUAAACAAAGGCACCCUACUGCGCUUUUUGCUGUGCUUCUGGAGAAUCCUGCUGUUCUCGGACGAUUAAAGAACAAAGUAGUAAUUGCUAAUUGUCUCACCCAUUAAUCUUGAAGGCUACCAGUCGCCCUUGCAUUUGCCUUGAGGCAGUGCUGACUACCUGAGAUUUAAGAGUUUCUUAAAUUAUUGAGUAAAAUCCCAAUUAUCCAUAGUUCUGUUAGUUACACUGUGGCCUUUGCAAACAUCUUUGCGUAACAGCAGAGGGACUCAUCCUUAGAGCCCCUUCCCUUGGAAUAUUAAUGGAUACAAUAGUAAUUAUUCAUGGUUCUGCCUAACAAAAGAGACCCACUUAUAUGUAUGCCCUUAUCAUUGCUCCUAGGUAGUGUGAACUGCCUACCACCUGGCAUUAAUAUGUAAAACACUAAUUGCCUAUGGUCCCACUCGUUAGUCUAGGAUAUCCCCUUUGCCAUUGCUGCUGAGUUCUGACUACCCAAGUUUCCUUCUCUUAAACAGUUGAUAUGCAUAAUUGCAUAUAUUCAUGGUUCUGUGUAAUAAAAAUGGAUUCCCACCCCAUCCCACCUUCUGUGGGAUAUUGCUAACGAGUGCAGAUUAUUCAAUAACAGCCUUUGGACAGUUAAUUUGCACAGUUGCAAUUGUCCAGAGUCCUGUGCAUUAGAAAGGAACUCUGGACUCUGUAUCCUAUUUGCAUGUUACAAUGUGGGCUGAUCACCCAAGGACUCUUCUUGUGCAUUGAUGUUCAUAAUUGUGUUUGUCCACGAUCUUGUGCACUAACCCUGCCACUCCCUUUGUAUUCCAGCAGGGGAUCCUUACUACUUAAGACCUCUGUACUAGGACAGUUUAUGUGCACAAUCCUACGUGAUUAGAACUGAGUCUUUUAUAUCAUGGUCCCUGCAUCAUCUUUGCUUUACAUCAAGAGGGUGCUGGUUACCUAAUGCCCCUCCUCCAGAAAUUAUCGAUGUGCAAAAUGCAAUUUCCCUAUCUGCUGUUAGUCUGGGGUCUCAUCCCCUCAUAUUCCUUUUGUCUUACAGCAGGGGGUACUUGAGACUGUUAAUGCGCAUAAUUGCAAUUAUGGUCUUUUCCAUUAAAUUAAGAUCCCAACCCUCUUAGCAUUACAGUAGAGGGUGCUAAUCACAAGGACUCUUCUUUUGUACUGUUAAUGUGCUACUUGCAUUUGUCCCUCUUCCUGUGCACUAAAGACCCCACUUACUUCCCUUGUGCUCAGGAGUGGAUGACCUCUACUGAAGACCUUUGCACUAGGAUAGUUAAUGUGAACCAUGGCAGUUGAUCACAGCAAUGUCUUUCAGAUCAGAUCCAUUGUACCCUCCUUGUUUUACAGCAAGGGAUAUUAAUUACUCAUGUUACCUUUCCCUGGGACUAUGAAUGUGCAAAAUUCCAAUGUUCGUGGUCUCUCCCUUUAAACCAAUAUUCUACCCCUUUUAUAUUUUAUAAAGGGAUGCUGGCAACCCAAAGUCCUUCUCUUGAGACUCUUAAUGUGUAUAUUUCUAAUUGUCCACGACUCUUAAUGUGCGUAUUUUCAAUUGUCUAUGGUCCCUCCCAAUAAGCUAAUAUCUUGACUUCUCAGUAUCAUAGCAGGGGGUACUGAUUUCCUGAAGUCUUUCUUGAACUUCCAGUGUGCACAAUUGCCCUGAGGCCGGGUGUGGUGGCUCACACCUGUAAUCUCAGCACUUUGGGAAGCUGAGGUGGGAGGAUUCCUUAAGGCCAGGAGUUUGAGACCAGCCUGGCCAACAUUAAAGAAAAAUAAAGUAAAACAGUUGCCCUGGAAUCCCAUCCCCCUCACCCCUCCUUGGCAUAGCAGCAGGAGUGCUAACUAGCUAGUGCUACUUCUCCUAUACUGCUUAAAUGCGCAUAAUUAACAGUAGUUGAUGUGCCCCUGUGUUAGAGUGGAAUUCCCGCUUCCUUGCUCCAUUUGCAUUACUGCAGGAGCUUCUAACUAGCCUGAAUUCAUUCUCUUGGACUGUUAAUGUGCAUACUUAUAUUUGCUCCUGUACCUUUUUAUCAUGUAAGGACUCCACCCACUCUAUUUACAUCCCAGCGGGAAGUACCUACUACUUAAGACCCUUCGACUAGUAAAGUUAGCAUGCAUAAUCUUAGUUGUUAGAUAUACAUUUUCAUUUGUACACAGCUGUGCCUUUUAUCAGGACUCCUGUACUUAUCAAAGCAGAGAGUGCUAACCAACAUUAAGUCCUUCUUCGGACUGUAGAUGCAUGUAAUUGCAGUUGUCAAUGGUCCUUCAAUUAGACUUGGGUUUCUGACCUUUCACACCCUCUUUACUUUAUUGCAUGGGGUACUAUUCACUUAAGGCCUCUUUCUCAAACUGUUAAUGUGCCUAAUGACAAUUACAUUAGGAUCCUUCCUUUUGAAGGACAGCAUGGUUGGUGACACCUAAGGCCCCAUUUCUUGGCCUCUCAAUAUGUGUGACUGUAUUUGUCCAGGUUGCUACGCACUAGAGAAGGAAAGUGCUCCCCUCAUCCCCACUUUUCCCUUUCAGCAGGAAGUGCCCACCCCAUAGGACCCUUUUAUUUAGAGAGUCUAGGUGCACAAUUGUAAGUGACCACAAACAGGCCUCUUGGACAUUAAUGUGCGUAAUCGCACACUGCUCAUUCCAUGUGAAUAAGGUCCUACUCUCCGACCCCUUUUGCACUACAGAAGGGGUGCUGAUAACCAAGUUCCCUUUUCUUGGCAUGUUAUAUGUGAUUAUAAUUGUCUGGGAUCCUAUGCACUAGAAAAGGAGGGUCCUCUCCGCAUACCUCAGUCUCACCUUUCCCUUCCAGCAGGGAGUGCCCACUCCAUAAGACUCAAAUUUGGACAGUCAAGAUGUGUAAUUGUUAAGUGAACACAACCAUGCACCUUAGACAUGGAUGUGCAUAACUACACACAGCUCAUCCUAUCUGAGUAAAAUCCUACUCUCAGACCCCUUUUGCAGUACAGCAGGGGUGCUGAUCACCAAGGCCCCCUUUCCUGGCAUGGUAUGCAUGCGAUUAUGUUUGUCUUGGUUCCUGUGUACCAGAUGUGGAAGCCUCCCCCGCCACACCCCCACCCCAAUCUUCCUUUCCCUCCGGCAGGGAGUCCCUGUUCCAUAAGACCCUUACAUUUGGACAAUCAAGGUGCACAAUUGUAAGUGACCACAGGCAUGCACCUUGGACAUUAAUGUGCAUAACUGCACGCGGCCCAUUUCAUCUGAAUAAGGUUCUACUCUCAGACCCCUUUUGCAGUACAGCAGGGGUGCUGAUCACCAGGGCCCCUUUUCCUGGCCUGUUACGUAUGUGAUUAUAUUUGUCUGGGUUCCUGUGUGUUAGACAUGGAAGCCUCCCCUGCCACACCCCACCCCCAACCUUCAUUUCCCUUCCGGCAGGGAGUGCCCCCUUCGUAAGACGCUUACAUUUGGGCAGUCAAGGUGCACAGUUGUAAGUGACCACAGGCACGCACCUUGGAUAUCAAUGUGUGUAACUGUACAUUGCCCAUCCCAUCUGAAUAAGGUCCUACUCUCAGACCCCUUUUGCAGUACAGCAGGGGUGCUGAUCACCAAGGCCCCUUUUCCUGGCCUGUUAUGUGGGUGAUUAUAUUUGUCUGGGUUCCUGUGUAUUAGAGAAGGAAGCCUUUCCCCCCCUCCGUCCCCACUCCCAGUCUUCCUUUCCCUUCCAGCAGGGAGUACCCUCUCCAUAAGACCAUUACAUUUGGACAAUCAAGGUGCACAAUUGUAAGUGACCACAGCCAUGCACCUUGGACAUUAAUGUGCAUAACUGCACAUGGCCUAUCUCAUCUGAAUAAGGUCCUACUCUCAGACGCCUUUUGCAGUACAGCGGGGGUGCUGAAUCACCAGGGCCCGUUUUCCUGGCCUGUUAUGUGUGAUUAUAUUUGUCCUGGUUUCUGUGUAAUAGACAUGAAAGCCUCCCCUGCCACACCCCACCUCCAAUCUUCGUUUCCCUUCCAGCAGGGAGUGUCCACUCCAUAUACCCUUACAUUUGGACAAUCAAGGUGCACAAUUUUAAGUGACCACAGGCACGCACCUUGGACACUAAUGUGCGUAACUGCACAUGACCCAUCCCAUCUGACUAAAGUCCUACUCUUAGAUCCUUUUUGCAGUACAGCAGGGGUGCUGAUCACGAGGGCCCCUUUUCCUGGCCUGUUAUGUGUGUGAUUACAUUUCUUCCAGUUCCUGUGUAAUAGACAUGGAAACCUCCCCUGCCACACUCCACCCCCAGUCUUCCAUUACCUUCCGGCAGGGAGUGCCUGCUCCAUAAGACCCUUACAUUUGGACGAUCAAGGUGCACAAUUGUAAGUGACCACAACCACGCACCUUGGACAUAAAUGUGUGUAACUGCACAUGUCCCAUCCCAUCUGAAUAAGGUCCUACUCUCAGACCCCUUUUGCAGUACAGUAGGGGUGCUGAUAACCAAGGCCCCUUUUCCUGGCCUGUUAACUUAUGUGAUUAUAUUUGUCUGGGUUCCAGUGUAUAAGACAUGGAAGCCUCCCGUGCCCCACCCCACCCCCAAUCUUCCUUUUCCUUCUGGCAGGGAGUGCCCGCUCCAUAAGAACCUUACAUUUGGACAGUCAAGGUGCACAAUUGUAAGUGACCACAGCCAUGCACCUUGGACAAUAAUGUGUGUAACUGCACACGGCCUGUCUCGUCUGAAUAAGGUCCUACUCUCAGACCCCUUUUGCAUUACAGCAGGGGUGCUGAUAACCAAGGCCCAUUUUCCUGGCCUGUUAUGUGUGUGAUUAUAUUUGUCCAGGUUUCUGUGUACUAGACAAGGAAGCCUCCUCUGCCCCACCCUGCCUACCUGUAAUCUUCCUUUUCCUACCAGCAGGGAGUGCUCACUCCAUAAGACCCUUACAUUUGGACAAUCAAGGUGCACAAUUGUAAGUGACCACAACCAUGCAUCUUGGAAAUUGAUGUGCAUAACUGCACACGGCUUAUCCUAUUUGAAUAAGGUCCUACUCUCAGACUCCCUUUGCAGUAUAGCUGGGGUGCUGAUCACUAAGGCCUCUUUUCUUGGCUUGUCUGUAUUCUUGUGUACUAGCUAAGGAUGCCUUCUCAUGGACUCCCUUUGCUUUUCAAGAAGGAGUACCCACUACUUUAAGAUUCUUACAUUUGUCCAAAGUACAUGGUUUUAAUGGACCACAACAAUGUCCCUUGGACGUUAAUAUAUAUAAUCACCACAUGGUUCAUCCUGAAUAAACAAGGUCCUACCCUCUCACCCUCCAUUUGCAGUAUACCAGGGUUGCUGACCCCUAAGUCCCCUUUUCUUGGCUUAUUGACAUGCAUAAUUGCAUUUAUGUGGGUUCUUGUGCCCUAGACAAGGAUGCCCCACCUCUUUUCAUAGUGGGUGCCCACUCCUUAUGAUCUUCACAUUUGAACAGUUAAUGGGAAUAAUUGCAGUUGUCCACAACCCUAUCACUUCUAGGACCAUUGCACCUCUUUUGCAUUACUGUGGGAUACACUGCUUGCCUGCAAGGCCCCUUCUGGUGGACUAUCAACAUACAUAAUUGAAAUUUUCUUUUGUGUUUGUCAGUAGAUUAAAGUCAUGCCCCAUCACCUUUCCUUUGUAGUACAGCAGGGUGUCCUGAUCAACCAAAGUCCUGUUAUUUUGGACUGUUAAUAUGCGCAAUUACAUUUGCUCCUGGUCUGUGCACUAGACAAGGAUCCUACCUACUUUCUUAGCGUUUUUAGCAGGUAGUGCCCACUACUCAAGACUCUUUCACUUGGAAUGUUCAUGUGCACAAACACAAUUCUCUAAGCAUGUUCCUGUACCACCUUUGCUUUAGAGCAGGGGGAUGUUAUUCACUUAGUGCCCCUUCUCUUGGACUUAAUAUGCAUUAAUGCAAUUGUCUACCUCUUCUUUUAGACUAAGACUUGAUCUCCACAUACUCCCCUUGCAUCAGGGGCAUGUUAAUUAUGAAUGAACCCUUUUAAUAUUAAUGUCACAAUUUUAUUUGUGGACCUGUGUAGUAGAAAAAGACCCUAUGUUCCUUCUACUACCCUUUGGAUUGCUGCUGAAAAGUGCUAACUACUCAUAGUCUCAGCUCUUGGACAAUUAAUAUGCAAUAAUAACAAUUAUCAAGGGCACUGAUCAUUAGAUAAGACUCCUGCCUCCUCAUGCAUACAUCAGGGGUACUGACCCACUAAGGCCCCUUGUACUGUUAAUGUGAAUAUUUGCAAUUAUACAUGUCUCCUUCUGUUAGAGUGGGAUAUUAUGCCUUAGUAUCCCCUUUGCCUUACUGCAGGGGCUGCCGACUACUCAAAACUUCUCCUGGGACUGUUAAUAGGCACAAUGGCAGUUAUCAAUGGUUUUUUCCCUCACUGAUCUUGUUAAGCACCCCACCCCACUCUUAGUUUCCCAUGGCAUAAUAAAGUAUAAGCAUUGGAAUAUUCCAUGCACUUGUCCAUCAAACAGUGGACCAUACUCCCACCCCUUUUGCAUUGCACCAGUGUGUAAAAUCACAGUUAGCCAUGGUGUCAUGCUUUAUGUACGAAGUCUUCCCUCUCUGCCCCUUGUGUGCCCUUGGCCCCUUUUUACAGACUAUUGCUCACAAUCUUAGGUAUCCAUAUAUCCAGAUAUUAGAUAAGAUUGUGCUCUCUCCCUCCUCCCUUCCCCCUGCCCUGCCCCAUUUGCCUCUUUGCUGGGUAAUCUUGACCGGACAAGACCCUUUCUCUUGGACUUAAAAAAUACUCAGUUGCACUUUCCUUGGUCCCACCCAUUAUACAUGAACCCUUCUACUUCCUUUUGCAUUGCUUCUGAGUAUGCUGACUACCCAAAGCCCCUUCUGUGUUCUUAAUGAACACAGUACUGAUUGUCCCAUUUUUCAGCCCAUCAGUCCAAGAUCUCCCUACCACUUUGGUGUGUGCAGUGUUGACUAUGAAAAGCAGGCCUGAACUAGGUGGAUAAGCCUUCAUUCAUUUUCUUUCAUUUAUUAAUGAUCCCAGUUUCAAUUAUUGUCAGAUUCUGGGGACAAGAACCAUUCUUGCCCACCUCUGUUACUGCUUUACUGUGCAAAAUACUCAAGGCAAGUCAGACCCAGGGAGCUGGUUUGCCAUCCUUUAUUUUGUGUUUCCAGUAUACACUAUCAAAUUGUCUCGCAGGAAGGAAGGUUGGCACUUUCUCUGCAUUCUUUCCAGAGCAGAUUGUCUGAUUAAGAAUCUCUUGUUGUCCCCUUUGUAUAUUGUUAUUGUAAAGUGCCAAAUGCCAGGAUACAGCCAGAAAAAUUGCUGUUAUUAUUAUUUAAAAAAAAUUUUUUAAGAAAGACAUCUGGAUUGUAGACUGGACUCAGUAACCUGGUCAUUAUUUUUUUGAAGCCAAAAAAUCCGUUUAUACUAUGUACCUCAUGACCAGUGUCUCAUUUUAACUGAGGGUGGUGGGUCUGUGGAUAGAACACUGACUCUUGCUAUUUUAAUAUUAUCAAAGGCGUUCUAGAGUGGAACUCUUAAGACCAGUAUCUUUGUGUGGGCUUUACCAGGAUUCAUUUUUAGAAAAACUACCUAAAUUUUAUAAUCCUUAAAUUUCUUCGUCUGGAGCACCUGCCCCUACUUAUUUCAAGAAGAUUGCAGUAAAACGAUUAAAUGAGGGAACAUAUGCAGAGGUGCUUUUAAAAAGCAUAUGCCACCUUUUUUAUUAAUUUGUCUAUUAUAUAAAAUGAAGCAUUUAAUUAUACUGAUAAUUUGAAGUAGUUCGAAGUACCACACUGAGGUGAGGACUUAAAAAUGAUAAGACCAGUGUCCUAUUUUAUAAGAAAAAUAAGCCAAAAUUAAAUAUUCUUUUGGAUAUAAAUUUCAACAGUGAGAUAGCUGCCUAGUGGAAAUGAAUAAUAUCCCAGCCACUAGUGUACAGGGUGUUUUGUGGCAAAGGAGUAUGUAACAUGGAACUGCUCAAGCAAAUAACUAGUCAUCACAACAGCAGUUCUUUGUAAUAACUGAAAAAGAAUAUUGUUUCUCUGAGAAGGAUGUCAAAAGAUCGGCCCAGCUCAGGGAGCAGUUUGCCCUACUAGCUCCUCGGACAGCUGUAAGAAGAGUCUCUGGCUCUUUAGAAUACUGUAAGUACUACUUUGUAGCUAUUAAGUAAUCUUUUUCCUAUUCUAUUUUCUUCUCUUAGAUGCCACCUAUAGAAAAGUCAGAGGGUCCAGAAUGAAUUUAGAGGUGAUUCUGUACCUUAACUCAAGAGGAAGGAUGGCUUGCUUUUAGGUGGAUUGAUUCUGCUAGAUAGCAUCCAAAGGAUUCCACUGAAGAUACCAUGCUGCAUGUGUCCUUAGUAGUCGUGUCUCCUUAGGCUCCUCUUGGACAUUCCGAGCAUGUGAGACCCGAGGACUGCAAACAGCUGCAAGAGGCUUCAAAUUCAGCAUAUCAUUCCUUUUGAGAAUCUGGCCAAGCUCCAGCAAAUCUACUUGGAUGGGUUGCCAGCCACCUGGAGAAAAAGAUCUUCCUCAGAAGAAUAGGCUUGUUGCUUUACAGUGUUAGUGAUCCAUUCCCUUUGACGAUCCCUAGGUGGAGAUGGGGCAUGAGGAUCCUCCAGGGGAAAAGCUCACUACCACUGGGCAACAACCCUAGGUCAGGAGGUUCUGUCAGGAUACUUUCCUGGUCCCAGAUAGGAAGAUAAAGUCUCAAAAACAACCACCACACGUCAAGGAGAACAUGGACAACUGUCACAUCAGUGACACUGAUCACAUGGGCAAAUCAUUCUGUUCCAUCUGGUCCCCAAAGUCUCUCUUAAAGCCUUACAGAAGAACUUUGCCAAUCAUUUACAUACUUCGGGAUGGCUUGGGAUGCCAUGGGAUAUAAUACGACAAGUGAGAGCUCUUCAUUGUUCCUAUCUGCCAAAUAAUUACACUUCCUACAAGCAGUGCAGAGAACUGAGUCUUCAGCAGGUCCAAGAAAUUUGAACACAUUGAAGGAGGUCAGCCUUCCUACCUGAAGAUCAACAUACUUGGCACUCUAGCACUUUAGGAUAGCCGAAUGAAUGUGUAUUUCUUUGUCUCUUUCUUCCUUGUCUUUGCUCUUUGUUCUCUAUCUAAAGUGUGUCUUACCCAUUUCCAUCUUUCUCUUGCUACUUUCUUUCGUGUGCGCCUUUGCCUCAUUUUCUCUUUUUGUUCACAAGACUGGUCUGUGCCUUGUCUUAGACGUAUCUCUCAUUUUUCCUUUUGUUGCUGUUUCUCUUUGCUCUCCUAGAUGUGGCUCUUCUUUCACGCUUUAUUUCAUGUCUCCUUUUUGGGUCACAUGUGUGUGCUUUUUGUCCUUCUGUUGUUCUGUCUACUUCUCCUUUCUCUGCCUACCUCUCUUUUCUCUUUGUGAACUGUGAUUAUUUGUUACCCCUUCCCCUUCUUGUUCGUUUUAAAUUUCACCUUUUUUCUGAGUCUGGCCUCCUUUCUGCUGUUUCUACUUUUUAUCUCACAUUUCUCAUUUCUACAUUUCCUUUCUGCCUCUCUUGGGCUAUUUUCUCUCUUUUUCCUCCCCUGUGUGCCUCAGCAUCUCUUGCUGUUUGUGAUUUUCUAUUUCAGUAUUAAUCUCUGUUGGCUUGUGUUUCUUCUCUGCUUCUUCCCUUUCUACUCACCUUUGAGUAUUUCAGCCUCUUCAUGAAUCUAUCUCCCUCUCUUUUAUUUCAUGUAAUCUUCUCUCCUUAAAUAUUUCUUUGCAUAUGUGGGCAUGUGUACGUGUGUGUGUGUCACGUGUGGCAGAGGGGCUUCUUAACCUCUGCCUGAUAGGUGCAGAACGUCGGCUAUCAGAAUGAGCAUUGUGGAGCGGUUCCUUAUGCCAGGCUGCCACGUGAGAUGAUCCAAGACCAAAACAAGGCCCUAGAGUCUAGACUGCAGUAAAACCCAAUACUCAAGUAGGACAGAAGGUGGAAGGCUCAUAUGGAUAAAAGGCCCAAAGUAGAAGACAGAUGGUUUGAGACUUGAGACCCGAGGACUAAGAUGGAAAGCCCAUGUUCCAAGAUAGAUAGAAGCCUCAGGCCUGAAACGAACAAAAGCCUCUAGAGCCAAGAAAACAGAGGGUGGUCUGAAUUGGACAGAAGGCCUGAGUUGGAUGGAAGUCUCAAGUCUUGAGUUCGAAGUCUUAAGACCUGGGACAGGACACAUGGAAGGCCUAAGAACUGAGACUUGUGACACAAGGCCAAAGACCUAAGAUUAGCCCGAGGUUGUAGUUGGAAGACCUACAACCCAAGGAUGGAAGGCCUCUGUCACAAAGCCUACCUAUAUGGAUAGAGGACCCAAGUGAAACAGAGAUCUCAAGACUAAAGGCUGGAAUCUGGAGGUCCAUGACCUAGAACCCAGGAAGGAUGGAAGCUUGAAGACCUGGGGAAAUCCCAAGAUGAGAACCCUAAACCCCACCUCUUUUCUAUUGUUUACACUUCUUACUCUUAUAUAUUUCCAGUUCUCCUGUUUCUCUUUAAGCCUGAUUCUUUUGAGAUGUACUUUUUGAUGUUGCCAGUUACCUUAAAGGAACAUAUCUUUAGAUUGACAGUAUUAUGCCUGGGCCAGUCUUGAGCCAGCUUUAAAUCACAGCUUUUACCUAUUUGUUAGGCUUUAGUGUUUUGUAAACUUCUGUUUCUAUUCACAUCUACUCCACUUGAGAGAGACACCAGAAUCCAGUCAGUAUCUAAUCUGGAUUUUGUUAUUCCCCUCAGGAGCAAACAUUCAUAUAGGUGAUACUGUAUUUCAGUCCUCUCUUUUAACCCCAGAAUCCCUAGACUGAGAAGAUAAAAUGGUCAGGUUGUUGGGGGAAAAAAAGUGCCAGGCCCUCUAGAGAAAAAUGUGAAGAGAUGCUGCAGGCCAGUGAGAAGAAUUAGACAAGAAAUACACAGAUGUGCCAGACUUCUGAGAAGCACCUGCCAGCAACAGCUUCAUUCUUUGAGCUUAGGUGAGCAGGAUUCUGGGGUUUGGGAUUUCUAGUGAUGGUUAUGGAAAGGGUGACAGGGCCUGGGACAAAGUGAGUUCCCAAGGGGACAGCCUGAACUCCCUGCUCAUAGUAGUGGCCAAAUAAUUUGGUGGACUGUGCCAACCCUACUCCUGGGUUUAAUACCCAUCUCUAGGCUUAAAGACGAGAGAACCUGGGACUAUUGAGCACAUUUAAUACUUUCCUUGAUUUUUUUCCUUCCUGUUUAUGUGGGAAGUUGAUUUAAAUGAUUGAUAAUGUAUAUGAAAGCACUGUAAAACGUAAGAGAAAAACCAAGGCGUGCUCCUUAAUAGUGCAUUGGCAAUCAUGCAUAGUAAACAUUUGAAAGUGCAUUGUAAAUUGUGAAGCAUUAUGUAAAUCGGGGUCCACAGUUUUUCUGUAAGGGGUCAAAAUCAUAAAUACUUUAGACUGUGGGCCAUACGGUUUCUGUUACAUAUUUGUUUUUUAAACAACCUUUUUAUAAGGUCAAAAUCAUAGUUUUUGAGCCAAUUGGAUUUGGCCUGCUGUUCAUAGCUUACCACCCCCUGAUGUAUUAUUCGUUAUUCAGAGAAAAUGUCUGAAUACUACUAAUUUCCUUUUCUGUGCCUGUCCCUGUGCUAGGCACUCAAAAUGCAACGAUGAUUCACAUGUAGGUGACCUGAAGAAAAAUAGUGAAUGUGCUUUGUAAACUAUAAAGCACUUGUAUUCUACUGUGAUAAACAUUGUGGAUACAAAGAAAGGAGCAAGCAUAAAAAAGUGCUCUUUCAAAAGGAUAUAGUACUAUGCAGACACAAAGAAUUGUUUGAUAAAUGAAUAAAUUAUAUGUGUAUUUGAGGCCAAUUUGUGUUUGCUGCUCUGGUAAUUUUGAGUAAAAAUGCAGUAUUCCAGGUAUCAGAAACGAAAACACAUGGAAACUGCUUUUAAACUUUAAAGUAUACUGAAUACAUAAGGGACUCAGCUUAUUGUGGUCACUUAUAAUGUACCAGAUACCAUGCUGGGCACUAGAACUACCAAAGGGGAAAGAAAUACUCUCAUAGAACAAAAAAUUUCAGAAAGGUGCAUAUUAAAGUGCUUUGUAAACUAAAGCACAAUACAAAUGUCAAUGGGCUACAUAUUUAUGAAUGAAUGAAUGAAUGAAUGAAUGAAAUUAACUGCCUCUUACAUACCAGCUAUUGUUUUGGGUACUGUGAAAUACAAGAUUAAUUCUCCUAUAAUAAGAGGAAAGUUUAUCCUCUAGACUAUUCAGAUGUAAGGAAUGAGAUAUUGCUUAAUUUUAAACAAUCAAGACUUUACUGGUGACGUUAAGUUAAAUUACUACCGGUACAUUUUCCUGGGUAACCGGGAAGGAGAUAGUAUAGGAAAUGAAGUAAUGGAAGUGAGGUCCAGAUCAAAAGUCACUUAAUUAAGUUUGCGAAUGUGCUUUCUAAAUUAUAAAGCACUUGUAAAUGUGAAAAAUUUGAUGCUUUCUAUAUGAAUAAAACUUUCUGUAAGAUAGGUACUGUCUCUACAAAAUUCUCAUUGUAUACUUAAACCACAAUGAGAAGGGUUCUAUACGUAGUUAUACAAACCAAGGGUUUAAAUACCUGUUAAAUGGAUCAAUUUUGAUUGCCUACUAUGUGAACUCAUUGUUAAAGGCACUGAAAAUUUAUCAUAUUUCAUUUACCCACAGCCAAAAAUAAGGCAAUACCUAUGUUAGCAUUUUGUGAACUCUAAGGCACCAUAUAAAUGUAACUGUUGAUUUUCUUACUUGGUGCUGAGAACUAGGUUUAUACAAUUGUAUGAUAGUUAUUAUAUUGUGCAAAUGAAGUAGGAAAAUUUGAGUAACAAUGAUUAACUUUUGAAUACGCAUAUGCAAGGGAUUGGUUGUCUGAAGAAUGCCACUAUAGUAGUUAUCUAUUGUGUGCCAAUCUCAUUGCUAGGCAUUGGGGAUGCAAAGAUAAACCAUCUUUAUUGUGUCCUGGGUAGCAGAAGAAAAUAUGUGUAAAAUCAAUUUAUAAUUUCUAAACUGCCACCCAUAUAUAAGCAGUAUCUGCUGAAUGAUCAUUGAUUACUCAUAUCCUUAGAGAUAACAACUGGGGGCACAAAUAUUUAUUAUCAUUAUUGAACCUACAACAGAGACCUUUGUGUAGAUUUACAAAGCCUACAGUUCUAUACAAAUAGGAAUGAACUAUUGGCUUACUGAAUGGUGAUUACGUUCUGAUUUACCAAGCCUACAGUUCUAUACAGAUAGGAAUGAACUAUUGGCUUACUGAAUGGUGAUUACUUUCUGUGGGGCUCGGAACUACAUGCCCUAGGAUAUAAAAAAAUGAUGUCAUCAUUAUAGAGUGCUCACAGAAGGAAAUGAAGUAAAAGGUGUGAGAUCCAGACCGAAAGUCACUUAACAAGUUUAUUCAAUGAUGAAAACAUGGGACAAAUGGACUAGUAUAAGGCAGUGUACUAAGCUAAGUAGAGAGAGAAAGUCCUGUCCAGAAGAUAUGUGCUCCCUGGCCUGAUUGAAGAGACGGAAAAUUUUUGCAAAAAACAAGGUGUUGUGGUCUUCCAUACAGUUUCUUAAGUGCUGAUGAUAGACGUGAAUUAGACCCACCUUGGUCUGGCUUACAGACAGUAAAGGAGUAAAUAAAUACAGACAGUAAAUAAAUACCUCAGGUUUACAGACAGUAAAUUUACAGACAGUAAAUAAAUGCCUCAGGUUUGCUUUUUGAUUCAUUUGAUAAACAAAGCAUCUUUUAUGUGGAAUGUACCAUUCUGGGUCCUGAGGAUGAGAGAGGUGAGGGCAUUAGACCAUUGACAGCUGAAGAUAGAAGAACAUCUUUAGUUUGAUUGUGUAAAUAAUAUUUCAGUGCCUAUUCUCUGCAAGGUACUAUGCUUGGUAAAUUAGUAAAUUAAAUAGGUCUGGUCCAGAAGACACACUCAAUUGCCUUUGAGAUUUAAAAAUAAAGAAAAAAGAAAGAAAAAGGCAAGUUUCUUUCAAAAUAGAGACAUUUUUCCUAGUUUCAGGAAUCCCCCAAAUCACUUGCUCAUUGGCUUAGUUUGAAGCCAGGAGACUGAUAAAAGGGCUCAGGGUUUGUUCUUUAAUUUAUUAAGCAAACAUUCUGCUUUUAUUACAGUUACAUGGUUCAAGAUGAAACAACUAGUUUUAAAGGUAUUUGCUCAUUGGUCUGGCUUAGAGACAGGAAGACAUUUGAGCAAUACAAAAAAUUCUUUCCCAUUUACCAUAUUUAGUAAAAAUUUAUUAAAACUGAAUAAAGUGCUGUUCUUAAGUGCUUGAAAGACCUAAACCAAAGUGCACUUUAUCUCAUUUAUCUUGUGGUGGAAACACAGGAACACAUUCUCUAAGAGACUGUGUUUCUUUAGUUGAGAGGAAACUUCAUUGAGUAGCUGUGAUAUGUUCGAUACUAAGGAAAAACUAAAUAGAUCACCUUUGACAUGCUCUGUCGAGUGGGAAGAGAGGGCUUUUUAUUUUUUCAUUCAUAUGAAUAUUGAUGAAGAUGAUACUAAAUGCUAAAUGAAAUAUAUCUGCUCCAAAAGUCAUUUAUUUUGACUUGGAGAUGCAACAAAAACACAAUAAAUGGAAUGAAGUGAUACUCUUCAUCAAACAGAAGUGACUGUUAUAUCAACCAUUGUGUUAAAUCCUAGACAGAAAACAAAAAAGAUCAUGACUAAAAGACACUUGCUUAUUAAUUGGCUUGGAAAGUAGAAUAUAGGAGAAAGGUUACGGUUUUUUUUUUUUUUUUCAUGUAUUCAUUCAUUCUACAAAUAUAUUUGGGUGCCAAUAGGUACUUGGUAUAAGGUUUUUGGCCCCAGAGACAUGGGAAAAAAAAUGCAUGCCUUCCCAGAGAAUGCCUAAUACUUUCCUUUUGGCUUGUUUUCUUGUUAGGGGCAUGGCUUAGUCCCUAAAUAACAUUGUGUGGUUUACUUCCUACUCCAUAUCUCUUCUACCACUCUGGCCACUACAAUAAGCAGGUAGCUGGGUUUUGUAGUGAGCUUGCUCCUUUAAGUUGCAGGAACUCUCCUUAUAAUAGACACUUCAUUUUCCUAGCCCAUCCCUCAUGAAAAAUGACUGACCACUGCUGGGCAGCAGGAGGGAUGAUGACUAAUUCCCAAAUCCCAGUCUCAUUGGUACCAGCCUUGGGGAACCACCCAUACUUGAGCCACAAUUGGUUUUGAAGUGCAUUUACAAGAUUUGUCUAUUUUCAGUUAUUUACUUUUUACGUGCUGACACAUACAUACACUGCCUAAAUAGAUCUCUUUCAGAAACAAUCCUCAGCUAACGCAUAGCAAAAUGGAGAUGGAGACAUGAUUUCUCAUGCAACAGCUUCUCAGUUUAUACCUUAGAAAUGUCCUCCUUUUUAUCAAAUCUACUCAAGAGGGGCUUUUUAUAGUAGAACAAUAUCAGUGGAUGAAAACAGCUUAACAUUUUACCUUGCUUAAGUUUUAAGAAUAAAAUAAAAAUUGGAAACAAUUGGCCAAAAUUGAAAGGAAAUUUUUUUUUUUUUUUAAAUUUCUCUAAAUGUAGGCCUGGCUGGGCUUUGACCUUUUCCAUUUUAAAUCACUCACAGAGGGUGGGACAGGAGGAAGAGUGAAGGAAAAGGUCAAACCUGUUUUAAGGGCAGCCUGCCUUUGUUCUGAAUUGGCCUUAAGAACAUUACCAGCUUCAGGUCUAAAGUGUUUAGUUUCAUGCAGUUCCAAUAACUGAUCAUUGUUGAGAUGAGGACAAAAUCCUUUGUCCUCACUAGUUUGCUUUAUAUUUUUGAAAAGUAAUUAUUUUUGUCCAAGUGCUUAUCAACUAAACCUUGUGUUAGGUAAGAAUGGAAUUUAUUAAGUGAAUCAGUGUGACCCCUCUUGUCAUAAGAUUAUCUUAAAGCUGAAGCCAAAAUAUGCUUCAAAAGAAGAGGACUUUAUUGUUCAUUGUAGUUCAUACAUACUUUCAAAGCAUCUAAACUGUAGUUUCCAUGGCAAGUCAAUUACAUCCAUAAGUGGAGAAGGAAAUAGAUAAAUGUCAAAGUAUGAUUGGUUGAGGGAGCAAGGUUGAAGAUAAUCUGGGGUUGAAAUUUUCUAGCUUUCAUUCUGUACAUUUUUAGUUAGACAUCAGAUUUGAAAUAUUAAUGUUUGUCUUUUAAUGUGUGGUAUCAGCUGGACUCAGUAACACCCCUUUCUUCAGGUGGGGAUGGGGAAUGCAUUAUUGGAAAAUGGAAAGAAGAAAGUAACUAAAAGCCUUCCUUUCACAGUUUCUGGCAUCACUACCACUACUGAUUAAACAAGAAUAAGAGAACAUUUUAUCAUCAUCUGCUUUAUUCACAUAAAUGAACUGAUGAAUAAAUCUGCUUUUAUGCAGACACAAGGAAUUAAGUGGCUUCGUCAUUGCCCUUCUACCUCAAAGAGAGUUUAUCCCAAAAUGCUAAGAUAAAUGGAAGACUCUUGAACUUGUGAACUGAUGUGAAAUGCAGAAUCUCUUUUGAGUCUUUGCUGUUUUGAAGAUUGAAAAAUAUUGUUCAGCAUGGGUGACCACCAAAAAGUAAUCUUAAGCCAUCUAGAUGUCACAAUUGAAACAAACUGGGGAGUUGGGUUGCUAUUGUAAAAUAAAAUAUACUGCUUUGAAAA
Non-coding RNA from Chlorocebus sabaeus (green monkey), 17977 nucleotides. The record is from RefSeq and is a predicted model, not a curated record. Lineage: Eukaryota; Metazoa; Chordata; Mammalia; Primates; Cercopithecidae.